Hydra vulgaris (swiftwater hydra) is the source of this 471-nucleotide non-coding RNA. The record is from RefSeq and is a predicted model, not a curated record. NCBI's taxonomy places the organism in Eukaryota, Metazoa, Cnidaria, Hydrozoa, Anthoathecata, Hydridae.
AAUUUUGUGGCUUGUCACAUUUUCAAAAUACAACGCUCAAUUAAGCUAUAAUGUUUUUUUUGGUGCUACCCAUUUAUUUUUUCUGAAAUUUAUGUUUUUCUUAGUGUUCAUUCUUAGUCGUCAUUGAAGUACAACUUGGUAAACUACAAAACACAUCAAAUUCAGUUAUAAAAAUUUGAGUAACAAAGGUAUACUAAUUAUUGUAUUGCCUGAAAGAGUGUCAUUGCUAUUAAAAGCAGUGAAAAAUUCAAGUACUCUGGAAGAAAAGAAAAUACGUCAAUUAUUUGGCACAAAUCGGAGUUAAAGACAAAGGAGAUUGUAUAUUUUAUUUGCUAAUAAUAGUUUUUUAAAAUGGCCUAGUUGUAAAAUUAAACUAUGCAGGGAGAGGACAAAUAAUUGGAAUAGAAAAAAUAUUGAUUGCAUAUGCUGCUAUUGAAACUGUGAAUUCAAAUAAGCAUGGCUUAUGCAGAC